This 372-nucleotide ribosomal RNA is filed under the name uncultured bacterium. RNAcentral describes it as "bacterial SSU rRNA". It matches the Rfam family "Bacterial small subunit ribosomal RNA", at positions 63 to 479 of the family's 1533-position model. The record is from RNAcentral.
CGAACGCUCCUAGCAAUAGGGGAGUGGCAGACGGGUGAGUAACGCGUGGGAACAUACCUUUUGGUUCGGAACAACACAGGGAAACUUGUGCUAAUACCGGAUAAGCCCUUACGGGGAAAGAUUUAUCGCCGAAAGAUUGGCCCGCGUCUGAUUAGCUAGUUGGUGAGGUAAUGGCUCACCAAGGCGACGAUCAGUAGCUGGUCUGAGAGGAUGAUCAGCCACAUUGGGACUGAGACACGGCCCAAACUCCUACGGGAGGCAGCAGUGGGGAAUAUUGGACAAUGGGCGCAAGCCUGAUCCAGCCAUGCCGCGUGAGUGAUGAAGGCCCUAGGGUUGUAAAGCUCUUUUGUGCGGGAAGAUAAUGACGGUACC